GGCCCGGCGGCGGCUGCGGCUGCGGUACCGGCCGCGGGCGGGCGGGGAGGGGGCGCGGGCCGGGCCCGAGUCUCUUUCUUUAAAGUGUUGAGUGCGGGCGAGCGGCGAUUGCGAAACUCUCCGCGCGCUGCUCCCGCCCCCUCUUCGCCCGCCCGCCAAUGGGCGGCGACGCUCCCGCAGGGGCAUGAUGCAAUGCCCGCCCGGAUUGGCAGCGGGCGCGGCCAAUCAGGCGUCCGUCAACACGCUUAAAGGGCGAGGCCGUGUUUUCUGYGGGAGGCCGCGCGCCCCGCGGGGGUGGGCAUGGCGGUGGCGGCCCGGCCCCGCGGGGAAGGCCCUGGCACUCCUCCCCGUCUCACCCCACCCCGGGGCGGGGGAGAAGCCGCGUGCCGCGGCGGGGCCGCGAGGCUGCCGAGAGCCGGGGGAGGCGGCGGGUGGGAGCGGGGCGCGGGCCGCUGGGAGGCCUCCGCUCCCCUCGGGCUGGCGGGCGGCAGCGAGAUGCCGCUGUCCCGGGCCCGGGCGGAGGCGGCGGCGCGGCCGCUGGGCCGCGGUGGCUCCUCCAGGAAGGCGCCGGCGGGAGCCGAGCCCCGGUGUCCCGUUUUCUUUUUCAGAAGCUUCACCCACGCACCCAAAAGGGGCUGUAAAUAGGGAGUUGAAACUUACGUUUUCUCUGAUGGUGACUCAUCCAUCUGUAACUAGAGCAAAAAUUCCAGAGAUUAACUCAGUGAGAUGUGCAGAAUAAAGGGAAUGCUUCCCAGAAGGAGAAGGACCAACAAGCAAACAGCUAUUUGCUUUGCCCCCACAUCUUCUGUAGCACUUUUAGAGUCAGCCAGCUGCAUAGGUAAAGGAGUGAUUUAUGCCUAUUGUUAUUAGGUUCAUGUUUUCAUACAUUAUUUUGUUUGGUAGGCUUGUUUUUUAACAAUCAAACAUCAGAGACCUCUUCAUUCACAAAAAAUGUUGUUGAAGAUAAAUUUAUUUUUGAGUGAAACCCUUACCCUGCCUAUGUGGGUAAGGGUUUCACCCUUACCUAGCCCUUGUGCUGUCAGGAAUUUGUGCUUUGCAUCAGUCAUUUAUCAGGCCACACCUGUGCAAAAAUUUCCUGAUACCAAUGCAUACAUACUUAUAUUUUGCAAGCUGGUACUUUUAUCUGAGAAGCAUACCACCACAGCAGUGACAUCUUGAGGGAUUUGGAGGUAGAAGGCCAUCAUUACCCCAAGUACCCUUUGUCUUUUUGUGACAAUUCUUUGUAUGUAAAAAUAUUUUUAUGAAAAUGUGGACUUUUAAAAAUUUCAAAUAUGUCGUUCUCUCUCUUUUAAGUAUUCCAGAGAACUACUUAGUAGAUGACCAACAUAUAUUAACGAAAUAAAAAUUGCCAAAUGUUCA
RNAcentral lists this long non-coding RNA (1380 nucleotides) under Dromaius novaehollandiae (emu). RNAcentral's name for it is "lncRNA (ENSDNVG00000011234.1)". Lineage: Eukaryota; Metazoa; Chordata; Aves; Casuariiformes; Dromaiidae. The record is from RNAcentral.